GGACCCGCACAAGCGGUGGAUGAUGUGGAUUAAUUCGAUGCAACGCGAAAAACCUUACCUACCCUUGACAUGUCUGGAAUCCUGAAGAGAUUUGGGAGUGCCCGAAAGGGAACCGGAACACAGGUGCUGCAUGGCUGUCGUCAGCUCGUGUCGUGAGAUGUUGGGUUAAGUCCCGCAACGAGCGCAACCCUUGUCGUUAAUUGCCAUCAUUUAGUUGGGCACUUUAACGAGACUGCCGGUGACAAACCGGAGGAAGGUGGGGAUGACGUCAAGUCCUCAUGGCCCUUAUGGGUAGGGCUUCACACGUCAUACAAUGGUCGGUACAGAGGGUUGCCAAGCCGCGAGGUGGAGCCAAUCCCAGAAAGCCGAUCGUAGUCCGGAUUGCAGGCUGCAACUCGCCUGCAUGAAGUCGGAAUCGCUAGUAAUCGCGGAUCAGCAUGUCGCGGUGAAUACGUUCCCGGGUCUU
Molecule: ribosomal RNA, 466 nt
Filed under: uncultured bacterium
Lineage: Bacteria
Description: bacterial SSU rRNA
Rfam family: Bacterial small subunit ribosomal RNA
Source: RNAcentral